UCUUAGGAAUGGACUUGCAUGUAUUUGCAAAUACUAUUUACUUACUGUUCUGCAAUGAGGACACUUGUCUCUUAACUAAUUUCACUCAAGUUUCAGCUUUCCUGUGACUUCUUACAUUUCCCAGGUGCUGGAGAAGUGAUUCCCCUGCAGCCCAUUGUGAAGACCAUGGUGGGGCAGGCUGUCCCCCUGCAGCCCACAGAGGUCCACAGUGGAGCAAAUACCCACCAUGGAGCAGAUAUCCCAUAGAGGAACUCACAACAGAGCAGGGGAAUGCCUGAAGGAGGCUGUGACCCCUUGGGAAGCCCAUGCUGGAACAUGCUCCUAGCAGGACCUGUGGCCUCAUGGAGAGAGGAACCCAUGCUGGAGCAGGUGAGGAGGGGAGUGAUAGAAAGACUUUUGUGGGCAUCUGGUGUCCAGCCAGAUUCAACCCACCUCAGUCAGUAAGAAGACAUUUGGAAAGACCUGAAUCAGUGGAACUGAAUGCAGUGUUUCCAAUUCUUCCUGGCAAGUGAAGGAAUAAAGAAGUAAAGAAUGAAGUCAGGAUCACACUAUGGGAAUACCAUCGUAUUUUUCUAAUUAAUUCCAUUUAAGAAAAUAUUAAUUGAAUAUUUUAGAGUUAAGAUAUCAAUGCUGUUAAACAGCAACACAAUAUGAUGAAGUCAACAAAGCAUGACUGAUAAUGUAAAGAAAAAUUCAAAUACAUUAAUUUGCCCAUUAGCCUUAUCCUAUUCCCUUUGGAUUUUAUUUUCUGUGCUUUAUUUUUUAACCUCAGAGCUGCAUUCAUGUAUUAUUAAAUCACUAACAACUGUUAUUUAAAAAUCUUGGCUUUCUGAGCCCAGUAAGUAAUCUGGAUGAGCAAUCUACCUCCCUAGGGGAAUUUUCCUAUGCAGAAGCUGGUAUGACCUCCACUCAAACAGUUUGCAUGCAUAAUUAUAUUUCUGAUGGGCUCUAAUUGUAUACAUAAGAUGAAAAUAAUUUGUAGUGAAUUUUGUCUGGAAAUUUGACCCUUUACAUUUUUUUUCUUUAAUUUUACCUUACCCAUGUUUGUAAGCAAAUAAUGCAUUUUUGUGCCAUGGAUAUUCAAAUUAAUCAAAUAACUAU
Molecule: long non-coding RNA, 1101 nt
Organism: Manacus vitellinus (golden-collared manakin)
Lineage: Eukaryota; Metazoa; Chordata; Aves; Passeriformes; Pipridae
Exons: 3
Source: RefSeq, a predicted model, not a curated record